Lasiosphaeria miniovina is the source of this 88-nucleotide non-coding RNA. NCBI's taxonomy places the organism in Eukaryota, Fungi, Ascomycota, Sordariomycetes, Sordariales, Lasiosphaeriaceae. The record is from the annotation of a RefSeq genome assembly.
GGCUGCGUGGCGCAAUGGCAGCGCGUUACUUUCCGGUUCCUCAUCUCUCAGUUGGUAAAGGCUUUGGGUUCGAGUCCCAACGCGGUCG